Non-coding RNA from Eublepharis macularius, 389 nucleotides. The record is from the annotation of a RefSeq genome assembly. NCBI's taxonomy places the organism in Eukaryota, Metazoa, Chordata, Lepidosauria, Squamata, Eublepharidae.
CAUUUUUUACCUUCGCCAUGGCCUCCUGGGCUGUUUUUCUCCUCACAUUUCUCAGUUACUGCUCAGAUAAAGGUGUCCAUUCACAGCUAAGUUUCACUCAACCUGCCGCACAGUCUGUGUCCCUGGGGCAAACGGCUCAACUCUCCUGCGCCGCCAGUGGCACUACGUACAACUUCCACUGGCUUCAGCAAAGGCCUGGCCAGGGCCCUCGCUUUGCCCUCUAUGGCACCAGCACCCGGGGAGACGGGAUCCCGGAUCGGUUCACAGGUUCCAGUUCGGGGAAUAUCCAGUAUUUAACCAUCUCUAAUGCUCAGGCUGAGGAUGAGGCAGAGUAUUACUGUGUUGCGUGCAACAGUGGCUGUGGCAUGAUUCACAGUGGUAAAUUCUAA